RNA transcript from Ahaetulla prasina, 1979 nucleotides. It is a transcript of the gene named methyl-CpG binding domain 4, DNA glycosylase, with no coding region annotated. The transcript is spliced from 6 exons. The record is from RefSeq and is a predicted model, not a curated record. Lineage: Eukaryota; Metazoa; Chordata; Lepidosauria; Squamata; Colubridae.
CGUCACCGGGGGGGCGUGGUCAAUCGAAGCUGUGGUGUGUGGGUUUUUUUCCCCUCCCCCAUCUAUCCCCUUCUUAGGAAAAGAUCGUUAGACUCUUAUAUUUUCCGGGAUGAGGUUUAAGAGUUUAAAGUGCGCAUGCGUUCAAUGAAGACUAAUAAGAAUUGGCGCCUUCUGCGGGAAGUCACUCGUGGUGUUAAAAUAAUAGGAAGAGAAGAAGCUCUAUGAAACCAGUACUCCAGGAUUCAAGUUCAGAUCUUGUGCUCUUUUGAAUUACUUUAAAGCGGACAAAGAUAACAUUCUUACAACAGAGGAUUUUGAUUUUACUAUGGCUGUUCAGAGGAAUACACGGUUAAGAACCAAAAGAUCUUCUACCAGAAAGGCAAGCACAGAAAUUGAGAGUUGCAUUUCUAGGAGUCCCGUUUCACUCUCUGGAUUAGGGAAAAGUGAAGGAGAUUGUAAAUCUUCUCUAGAAAAUAACUUGGAACUUCUAUCCGACACUAGAGAACCAGAAAUUCCUGCUACCUGUUUGCAGGAUGGGCCUAAUACCAGAGAUAUUUCUAAGGACUGUUUUUUGAAAAGUGAUAAAAAUGGUACUAUUCAAAGGAAGAUUCAAGUUAGAAAAUCUAAAAAGUCUUCUGAAAUAAGGAAUAUCACUCAUGGCCAAAACAAAAUACAGAGACUAUCAGCGUGUAAAGAACAGGCACAAAGCAGUAAACGUGCCAUAUGUAAGAACAAAAUGUGUGUACUUAAUAGUGAUUCCAGUGAAAACAAAGUAUGCCGAAGAAGUUCAAGGAAAAGAAAAAUAUGUUUUAAGGAUGAACUGUUGUUUGAACCAAAAACAGAGCAGAACGAUAAACAGAUUGAACCUUUCUUAGAACACCAAACAAGCACAGAAAUAUCAAAAUGUACUGAGCGUUCUUGCAGCAGAAUCACUGCAGCUGCUAAUAAAAAGCUUUCAGUAGUGGAAAUGCAAAGAAAUGUGAUGGCUUCAGAGAGUGCAAGUGAACAGAGGGCUUCCACUAUGGAUGUUACUGUUUUCCAGAUGUGCGAAGAGAAACCUUUUACAUCAACCAAAAAGAGCCGUACUCAAAGAACCCAAGUGGAAAGAUGGAAAACCAGUCCAUAUUUUUCCAGAAAAUUAAUCAAAGAAGCUCCAAGUCCACCAAGAAGGAAAGCUUUUAGGAAAUGGACUCCACCUCGUUCUCCUUUUAAUCUGGUUCAGGAAACACUGUUUCAUGAUCCAUGGAAACUUCUGAUUGCAACUAUAUUUUUGAACAAAACCUCAGGAAAGAUGGCUAUCCCUGUGCUGUGGGAAUUUUUUAAGAAAUAUCCUUCACCAAAUGUAGCAAGAACUACCAACUGGAAAGAAAUGUCAGAAUUGCUUAAACCUCUUGGCCUAUAUAAACUCAGAGCAAAGACCAUUGUUAAAUUUUCAGGUAAUAUCUAUAAUAUUCCAUAUGUUUCAUGUAUAUUAUCUCAUAAACCUUGGUACAGUUAUAUAUCAGUAUUUGUAUUUUUUAUUGUGGUUGGAAGACCAAAACUGAGGAAUGAUAGUUUGCCAAAGACCUCUUAAUACAUUCAUGAUUGAGACAUGAAGUGGAAAUUUGUUUCAUAUAUUUGAAGCAGGGGUGAAAUGCUCCCGGAUCGGACCAGAUCGCGCGAUCUGGUAGCGAUCAUGACUGGUAGUUCAGCGAUCCGGUAGCAAUGGCAGACCAAAGCUCGGCGCACCCCCCCAGGUGCCAUUACUUCCUGGUUUUAACCAGGAAGUAAUGUGUUUUUUACCUUCUGCGCAUGCACAGAAGGUCUGCGCAUGCAUGUGAUGCAAGCAAAGUGCGCACGCGUGGGGCACGUGCACUUCCGAACCGGCGAGGAAGAUGAAUAUUUGGUUAAGCAGUGGAAAUAUCCAAUUGAAUUACAUGGAAUUGGAAAAUAUGGAAAUGAUUCUUACAGAAUUUUCUGUGUGAAUGAAUGGAAAGAGG